GUAGGUAGAGAAUACUAAGGCGUAGAGAUAAUACUUGUAAAGGAACUCGGCAAAUUGUCUUCAUAAGUUAGACGAUAUGAAGAACCAUUUAAUUGUAUAUCUUAACUGUUUCAUUUGCUUUUAUCCUGUACAAGGUACAAAGUAAAUAUUACAAUAAUAAGGUGCAUUAAUGGUGUCACAAAAUCGGAGGCCCCGACUGUUUACUUAAAACACAGCUUUCUGCCACGAUUAACAUCUUUGUAUAGAAAGCGAAUUUUGCCCAAUGCCAUUAAUAUAAGAUUGAUAAGCGCUUAGCGUAUUUAUUGAUUGAAGUUCUGGUCAAUGGCGGUCUUAUCUAUGAGGAUCCUAAGGUAGCAAAAUUAAUUGUCCAUUAAAUGUGGUCCUGACUGAAUAAAGUAACGAUGGUCUCACUGUCUCUACAAGUAUCUCAGUGAAAUUGAAUUAGCCGUGCAGAUGCGGUUUAACUUCGGGUAGACGGGAAGACCCUAUGC
Molecule: ribosomal RNA, 491 nt
Filed under: Tulasnella sp. M-3
Lineage: Eukaryota; Fungi; Basidiomycota; Agaricomycetes; Cantharellales; Tulasnellaceae
Description: LSU rRNA
Rfam family: Bacterial large subunit ribosomal RNA
Source: RNAcentral